Long non-coding RNA from Camelina sativa (false flax), 520 nucleotides. RefSeq lists it as uncharacterized. The record is from RefSeq and is a predicted model, not a curated record. NCBI's taxonomy places the organism in Eukaryota, Viridiplantae, Streptophyta, Magnoliopsida, Brassicales, Brassicaceae.
CUCGCCUCCGUAUCUUUUCCGGCACUGCUAAUCCUGCCUUAGCUCAGCUUGAAGAGAGUGUAAGGGGAUGCGAUAUGUUCAGCUUGAAGAGAGUGUAAUGGUGAGAUAUAUGUUCUGGUUGUGUUGCCAUUUUAGCUAAUUGUGAUGGGCUGGUCCUACUCGAGAUCUCUUGUUGACAAAAUCAUCUCUAGCUACAGAGUUUCGAAUCCAUUGCAGCAGAACCAGUUAAUUACUCACAAGCACUUCGUUUAUGAGGAGCAUAUGCUGGAAAUUGAAUGCCCCAGUGUCACACCUGAGGCUGUUCUCAAGGCUUCAGGGCAUGUUGACUACUUUCACGAUCAGGCCAAUCUAGAGCUCGGUGGUCAUCGGAUCGCCACUGUAUUGAUGUACUUGUCCAAUGUUCAAAAGGGCGGAGAGACAGUGUUUCCCAUGUGGUUUAACUAACAUUUAUACACAUGUAGAAUACUCUAGAUUAUCUUGAACAUCCAUUUGGUUAAUAUAUUUGAGGGACCAAACUUUG